This 1424-nucleotide ribosomal RNA is filed under the name Parapelophryne scalpta (Hainan little toad). RNAcentral describes it as "partial 16S ribosomal RNA". It matches the Rfam family "Bacterial large subunit ribosomal RNA", at positions 157 to 2606 of the family's 2925-position model. The record is from RNAcentral. Lineage: Eukaryota; Metazoa; Chordata; Amphibia; Anura; Bufonidae.
GCCAAAAACCUAGCCCAAUAAACACGAAUUAAACUAAAUUAACUCAAUCAUCUUAAUAAACCAUUUUAUGUUUCUAGUAGAGGAGAUCGAAAAAUUUAUUGGAGCUAUAACAGUAGUACCGCAAGGGAAUGAUGAAAUAUUUAAUGAAAACUUAAGCAAUAAAAAGUAAAGAUUACCCCUUGUACCUUUUGCAUCAUGGUUUAACUAGUUUAAUCAAGCAAAACGUAUUUAAGUUUGACUUCCCGAAACUAAGUGAGCUACUUUAGGACAGCUAAAAGAGCGAACCCGUCUCUGUAGCAAAAGAGUGGGAUGAUCCUUAAGUAGGGGUGACAUACCUAACGAACCUAGUGAUAGCUGGUUACUCAAGAAAUGAAUUUAAGUUCAACCUGAAACCCCCCCCCCCCGUACACCCAAACAACCAAGAGUUCUCAGCGUAAUUCAAAUAAGGUACAGCCUAUUUGAAACAGGAUACAACCUAAUCAAGCGGAUAAGAUCAGCUUAUAAACAAUCAAGUAGGCCUAAAAGCAGCCAUCUUCAAUAAUCGCGUCAAAGCUGAAUUGUUAAUACGCUCAAUCACAUAACUACUAUCUUAUUCCCUCACCCUUAUUGAGUAAUUCUAUAUUACUAUAGAAAUUUUUAUGUUAAAACUAGUAACAAGAAGAAGACCUUCUCUUAAAUGUAAACAUAAAUCAGAAAAGACAAACUACUGAUAGUUAUACCUCCUUAAGCCUGAGUAGCAACCAUUUAAAAACCCUACUCUCAUUUCUGUUAACCUAACACAAGAACAUUUCAAGAAAGAUUAAAAGAAAGAGAAGGAACUCGGCAAAUAUUAGCCCCGCCUGUUUACCAAAAACAUCGCCUCUUGAGCCCUAUAAGAGGUCCAGCCUGCCCAGUGACUCUGUUCAACGGCCGCGGUAUCCUAACCGUGCGAAGGUAGCGUAAUCACUUGUUCCCUAAAUAGAAACUAGUAUGAAUGGCACCACGAGGGCUAUACUGUCUCCUCUCUCCAAUCAGUGAAAUUAAUAUCCCCGUGAAGAAGCGGGGAUGAAAAUAUAAGACGAGAAGACCCUGUGGAGCUUUAAACAAUAUAGAAUCUGUUACACUACACUUAAACCCUCUGCGUCUUUACCUCUCCUGACAGAAUUACUAUGCGUUUUCGGUUGGGGUGACCAUGGAACAUAAUAUAACCUCCAUGUUGAAUUUCUCAAGCUAAGAGCUUCUCUUCUAAGCAUCUUCACAAUGACAUCCAUUGACCCAAUAUAUUUGAACAACGAACCAAGUUACCCCAGGGAUAACAGCGCAAUCCACUUCAAAAGCUCCUAUCGACAAGUGGGUUUACGACCUCGAUGUUGGAUCAGGGCUUCCCAGUGGCGCAGCCGCUACUAAAGGUUCGUUUGUUCAACGAUUAAAACCCUACGUGAUCU